Molecule: long non-coding RNA, 679 nt
Filed under: Oryctolagus cuniculus (rabbit)
Lineage: Eukaryota; Metazoa; Chordata; Mammalia; Lagomorpha; Leporidae
Description: lncRNA (ENSOCUG00000030080.1)
Source: RNAcentral
AUGACUCGGAUCCCACUCAAGUUCCAUUCCAGCCAGCAACAGAUCAUCUUGCCAGAUGGUGCACAUCUGGACACCCCAGGCAGCAAGAGAGUUUGGAGAAACAUCUCGAAUGCAGGAGAGAUAAAAACUGAGGGAUGCUUGGUGUUUCCAAGAGUUCAAUCUGUCCUCCUAGAAAGGAAAGAAAGCAUCAUAUUAUUCUACAUUUGGCUUCAAUCAAGUUCAUUGGAUAUGGUCCUGGAGUUUGGUCUGCUGACAGUUGAUUGCUAAUACCUUCUCCAAAACAGGACUUCUGCCCAACAGAGUUGCCUUGCUCCUGAGAAAACAUGGGAGAACCAGCAGAAGACUCCAAGAUCCCAGAGGAUCCUGAAAUACUUGUUUCCGGACAGCGAGAAUCAGGACCUGCAAGUAAGAGAGCGCCACUGAGGACUGAAUCUACACAAUGAACUUGAAGAAUUAAGGACUGACUUUACUCUCCACUUUUAUCUAUGAAGUCAUAUCUUACAACAAAUAGCCUAAACUGGUGUAUAUAGCUGGUUCUGUGGAAGGACCAAGAAGACUUUAGAUGGCUCUUGUCUAAAGUCUUCGUGCAAGUACUUGAGAAACAAAACCAUUAAUUACACAUGAGGAAGGGUAUUCAGUAUUAUUUUUAAAUAAAAAUUACUAAUGUUUUUAGGUCUCA